UGAUAAAGAAGUGGUGGAAAAGGUCUGCUAAAUUUUCACUCCAUGCUUUACCUUGUUCACUUUUUUGCUGGUCUUUUCAUCAACAUAUGCUUAUCACCGUAUGAAGCAAGUUUUCAAUUUAGAACUAUACACUUUGAAGCAAGCAAUGACUUUUUGUUCUGUCAUAUCCAAAUUCCCUACAGCGGUUUCUCUUUUCCAGAACAGGAUCAUUUCUUACAGCUUUACAUUCCUUAACAGGUGUGGGAUAGAAUUGCACCAG
Molecule: unclassified non-coding RNA, 259 nt
Filed under: Hevea brasiliensis (rubber tree)
Lineage: Eukaryota; Viridiplantae; Streptophyta; Magnoliopsida; Malpighiales; Euphorbiaceae
Source: RNAcentral